RNAcentral lists this unclassified non-coding RNA (332 nucleotides) under soil metagenome. Its description in RNAcentral is "partial contains 5.8S ribosomal RNA, internal transcribed spacer 2, and large subunit ribosomal RNA". The stretch from base 1 to 120 matches the Rfam family "5.8S ribosomal RNA", at positions 35 to 154 of the family's 154-position model. The record is from RNAcentral.
GAUGAAGAACGUAGCGAAAUGCGAUAAGUAGUGUGAAUUGCAGAAUUCAGUGAAUCAUCGAAUCUUUGAACGCACAUUGCGCCUCCUGGCAUUCCGGGAGGCAUGCCUGUUUGAGCGUCAUUAAAAUCACUCAAGCCUCGCUUGGUAUUGGGCAACGCGGUCCGCCGCGUGCCUCAAAUCGACCGGCUGGGUCUUCUGUCCCCUAAGCGUUGUGGAAACUAUUCGCUAAAGGGUGUUCGGGAGGCUACGCCGUAAAACAACCCCAUUUCUAAGGUUGACCUCGGAUCAGGUAGGGAUACCCGCUGAACUUAAGCAUAUCAAUAAGCGGAGGA